GCGCACCAGGCGCGAAACCUCCGCAAUGCGGGAAACCGCGACGGGGGACCCCGAGUGCCGUGGCAACGCCACGGCUUUUCCGGAGUGUAAAAAGCUCCGGGAAUAAGGGCUGGGCAAGGCCGGUGGCAGCCGCCGCGGUAAUACCGGCGGCCCGAGUGGUGGCCGCUAUUAUUGGGCCUAAAGCGUCCGUAGCCGGGCCCGUAAGUCCCUGGCGAAAUCCCACGGCUCAACCGUGGGGCUUGCUGGGGAUACUGCGGGUCUUGGGACCGGGAGAGGCGGGGGGUACCCCUGGGGUAGGGGUGAAAUCCUAUAAUCCCAGGGGGACCGCCAGUGGCGAAGGCGCCCCGCUGGAACGGGUCCGACGGUGAGGGACGAAGGCCAGGGGAGCAAACCGGAUUAGAUACCCGCGUAGU
Molecule: ribosomal RNA, 413 nt
Filed under: uncultured microorganism
Description: bacterial SSU rRNA
Rfam family: Archaeal small subunit ribosomal RNA
Source: RNAcentral